AGUCAUUGAACAUCCUUUUCUCUACCCCCAAGCUCAUGGACAGUCUUGGCCUGACAUCUGUGAGCCAGCUCUGGCCUGGAUCAAGCCAGCACACCUGCCCUCCAUCCAAUUUUGCCAUUGGAAUCUCAGUUCUCUUCAUGCAAUUAAUGGACAUUGAUGUGUCAUACACAGAAGCGUACUCAGUGCCAUUUAAGGAGGCUGAUUUUAAAGAGGUGGCUUACAUAUAUGCACAUUAGGAGAUGAACAUUUCUUCUUCAUAGCAUAGAAGCUGAUGACUUUACUCUUGUUGCACAAAGACUCCUAUUCAUACAUGGAAUGUAUCCUUGGGCUGCAAAGCCAAAAAUCACGUUUCUAUAGCAAAGAUGUGCACUGAAAUAGAGUUACUUCAUAUCAUCUGAAAAAGGAUUCCAAAAUGACUUGAAGAGGCUAGCAAAAUACCCAGAAUCAAUAAGCUAAAUUCUCUGCUUCAAGAGGUGAGUUACGAUGAAUGAGAAAUGGUGAUUGCUUAGGUGGGAACCUAAAAGUCUUUACCAAUGUGUCAUGUGGCUCAACCAGUCAGAAUUAAACAUUCUUAAGACAGAAUUUUAUAAAGCAUAGUACUUCUCUCUUUUUUCCCCCCUCUCCUUAAGCCAGGUAGCAUUCACACAGAUAUAUAUAUGUAUAUAUAUAUUCC
Molecule: long non-coding RNA, 673 nt
Filed under: Vulpes vulpes (red fox)
Lineage: Eukaryota; Metazoa; Chordata; Mammalia; Carnivora; Canidae
Description: lncRNA (ENSVVUG00000006708.1)
Source: RNAcentral